RNAcentral lists this ribosomal RNA (253 nucleotides) under uncultured bacterium. Its description in RNAcentral is "partial 16S ribosomal RNA". It matches the Rfam family "Bacterial small subunit ribosomal RNA", at positions 524 to 776 of the family's 1533-position model. The record is from RNAcentral.
UACGAAGGGGGCUAGCGUUGUUCGGAAUUACUGGGCGUAAAGCGCACGUAGGCGGGUUGUUAAGUCAGGGGUGAAAUCCCGGAGCUCAACUCCGGAACUGCCUUUGAUACUGGCAAUCUAGAGACUGGAAGAGGUUAGUGGAAUUCCCAGUGUAGUGGUGAAAUUCGUAGAUAUUGGGAAGAACACCAGUGGCGAAGGCGGCUAACUGGUCCAGUACUGACGCUGAGGUGCGAAAGCGUGGGGAGCGAACAGG